UUGAGACAAUCAAAGAAAGAGAGAAAAAAAGAAGAACAGAAGUCGUCAGAAAGUGUCGAUAAGAGAGAAAGUUUGAGACAAUCAAAGAAAGAGAAAAAAAAGAAGAAGAACAGAAGUCCUCAGAAAAUGUAGAUGAGAGCGGAAAUGUAAGACAAUCGAAGAGCAGGAAAAAAGAACAAGAACAGGUGAAGUUGACUAUCAAGUUAAACAUGUUAAAUACUUUAACCGAGACUAUUGUCGAUAAAGAAUCAACUAAAAAGGCUGUAUGCCGAAAAAUGAAAGUGAUAUCUGCCCCAAAAAAAGGGUGACAUUGAAAAAACUAAGGUGACAAGAGCUAACCACAUUCAACAUCUUGGUAGUGGGACCAGAGAUUACCAAAUUAAACAUCUAAGUAGGGUAAAUAAAG
Long non-coding RNA from Mytilus trossulus (common blue mussel), 406 nucleotides. RefSeq lists it as uncharacterized. The record is from RefSeq and is a predicted model, not a curated record. The transcript is spliced from 7 exons. NCBI's taxonomy places the organism in Eukaryota, Metazoa, Mollusca, Bivalvia, Mytilida, Mytilidae.